This 204-nucleotide unclassified non-coding RNA is filed under the name Hevea brasiliensis (rubber tree). The record is from RNAcentral. Lineage: Eukaryota; Viridiplantae; Streptophyta; Magnoliopsida; Malpighiales; Euphorbiaceae.
GAAGCCCAUCUCUUCACAGCUCGACAAGCAGUGGAAAAAAAAGUCUGAACUUGAUCACCUUGCAAGGAGGAGUUUACUUUAUCUGCCAUUGAUAUUUAGAAAGAAUAAGAGGAAAGACUGGUUUCAACUUCUCUGUUAGGCGAUGGGUUUGUGGAGUAUCACAAUUCUUGCACACGUAAUAUUAAAUACAGGACUUCAUGGUGG